RNAcentral lists this ribosomal RNA (808 nucleotides) under Fusarium solani. Its description in RNAcentral is "eukaryotic LSU rRNA". It matches the Rfam family "Eukaryotic large subunit ribosomal RNA", at positions 81 to 919 of the family's 3401-position model. Lineage: Eukaryota; Fungi; Ascomycota; Sordariomycetes; Hypocreales; Nectriaceae. The record is from RNAcentral.
CAGUAACGGCGAGUGAAGCGGCAACAGCUCAAAUUUGAAAUCUGGCUCUCGGGCCCGAGUUGUAAUUUGUAGAGGAUGCUUUUGGUGAGGUGCCUUCCGAGUUCCCUGGAACGGGACGCCAUAGAGGGUGAGAGCCCCGUCUGGUUGGACGCCGAACCUCUGUAAAGCUCCUUCGACGAGUCGAGUAGUUUGGGAAUGCUGCUCUAAAUGGGAGGUAUAUGUCUUCUAAAGCUAAAUACCGGCCAGAGACCGAUAGCGCACAAGUAGAGUGAUCGAAAGAUGAAAAGAACUUUGAAAAGAGAGUUAAACAGUACGUGAAAUUGUUGAAAGGGAAGCGCUUGUGACCAGACUUGGGCUUGGUUGAUCAUCCGGGGUUCUCCCCGGUGCACUCUUCCGGCUCAGGCCAGCAUCAGUUCGCCCUGGGGGAUAAAGGCAUCGGGAACGUGGCUCUCUCCGGGGAGUGUUAUAGCCCGUUGCGUAAUACCCUGUGGCGGACUGAGGUUCGCGCAUUCGCAAGGAUGCUGGCGUAAUGGUCAUCAGUGACCCGUCUUGAAACACGGACCAAGGAGUCGUCUUCGUAUGCGAGUGUUCGGGUGUCAAACCCCUACGCGAAAUGAAAGUGAACGCAGGUGAGAGCUUCGGCGCAUCAUCGACCGAUCCUGAUGUAUUCGGAUGGAUUUGAGUAAGAGCAUACGGGGCCGGACCCGAAAGAAGGUGAACUAUGCCUGUGUAGGGUGAAGCCAGAGGAAACUCUGGUGGAGGCUCGCAGCGGUUCUGACGUGCAAAUCGAUCGUCAAACAUGGGCAUG